RNAcentral lists this ribosomal RNA (274 nucleotides) under uncultured bacterium. RNAcentral's name for it is "partial 16S ribosomal RNA". It matches the Rfam family "Archaeal small subunit ribosomal RNA", at positions 473 to 747 of the family's 1478-position model. The record is from RNAcentral.
AAACCAGCACCUCAAGUGGUCAGUAGGAUUAUUGGGCCUAAAGCAUCCGUAGCCUGUUCUGUAAGUUUUCGGAUAAAUCCACUAGCUCAACUAGUGGGCUGCCGAAAAUACUGUAGAACUAGGGAGUGGGAGAGGUAGACGGUAUUCGGUAGGAAGGGGUAAAAUCCUUUGAUCUAUUGAGGACCACCUGUGGCGAAGGCGGUCUACCAGAACACGUUCGACGGUGAGGGAUGAAAGCUGGGGGAGCAAACCGGAUUAGAAACCCCAGUAGUCC